This 531-nucleotide long non-coding RNA is filed under the name Mus pahari (shrew mouse). Its description in RNAcentral is "predicted gene 43348 (MGP_PahariEiJ_G0005735.1)". The record is from RNAcentral. Lineage: Eukaryota; Metazoa; Chordata; Mammalia; Rodentia; Muridae.
CCGAGAAAUUUGACUGGAACUUUAGGAGGGAGCAGACUUUGUAUUAACAAGCCCAGAGCCACAGUCAUUGCUCUGGAGCCACAGGGCUCCAGCUUGUUAUAAAAGAAUCACAAGCAGCAUUUUCCAUGGCAAGUCAUUGGCCCCAACUGAGCCUUUAAAUAAAUCUCUGGGUUCCUGUCAGCAUGACCUUGGAAUUGUUGAACACCAUUCAACUUUGAAUCACUGUGACUUGUAAUCCAAGCACCCGGCAGCUGAGGAGUGUCGCGGAGCUUAUAUUAUGUCUGGAUAAUUCCUUGAUUGUUCAUGGUUCUGUGUUGUGGUACUUCCCAGAUGGCUGAGCAUCUUAAGAAGCAGGUGCCUUUCCCCUUUAUAACUGGCUCUAGAAGAACGCGCUUCUGAUCUGUUGUACAGAAGAAAUAAAAAGGAGGACCUCACUGUUUGCAGAUUAAAGGAGUUUAUCUUUUGUUAUUGGUUAUAAGAACAGUGUAGGUUCAGACUGGACAGGACAUGUGUUGACUUGUGAGAGAAUUG